RNAcentral lists this ribosomal RNA (511 nucleotides) under uncultured bacterium. Its description in RNAcentral is "partial 16S ribosomal RNA". It matches the Rfam family "Bacterial small subunit ribosomal RNA", at positions 28 to 507 of the family's 1533-position model. The record is from RNAcentral.
GACAAACGCUGGCGGCAUGCCUAACACAUGCAAGUCGAACGGACAGAACAGGGAAGCUUUUCGGAGUGGAACUGGAAAGUUAGUGGCGGAUGGGUGAGUAACGCGUGGACAACCUACCUUGUAAAGGGGAAUAACCUCGAGAAAACGAAGCUAAUACCCCAUAAUAACCUUGCUUCGCAUGAAGUAAGGAGGAAAGGCGGCCUUAGCGCUGUCGAUACAAGAUGGGUCCGCGUCUGAUUAGCUAGUUGGUGAGGUAAAGGCUCACCAAGGCGACGAUCAGUAGCCGGCGUGUGGGGGUGAACGGCGACAGUGAGACUGAGAGACGGCCCAAACUCCUACGGGAGGCAGCAGUGGGGAAUCUUGCGCAAUGGGCGAAAGACUGACGGAGCAAUGGCGCGUGAGUGAAGAAGGCCUUCGUGUUGUAAAACUCUGUCCUUAUCGAAGAGAGAGUGUUGUAGUAACUGACAAUACUAGGACGGUAGAUGAGGAGGAAGCCCCGGCUAACUAUGUG